AUUGAACGCUGGCGGAAUGCUUUACACAUGCAAGUCGAACGAUGAACCUUAGCUUGCUAAGGGGAUUAGUGGCGAACGGGUGAGUAAUAUAUCGGAACGUGCCUUGUAAUGGGGGAUAACUAGUCGAAAGAUUAGCUAAUACCGCAUACGCCCUGAGGGGGAAAGUAGGGGAUCUUCGGACCUUACGUUAUAAGAGCGGCCGAUAUCUGAUUAGCUAGUUGGUGGGGUAAUGGCCUACCAAGGCGACGAUCAGUAGCUGGUCUGAGAGGACGACCAGCCACACUGGAACUGAGACACGGUCCAGGCUCCUACGGGAGGCAGCAGUGGGGAAUUUUGGACAAUGGGCGCAAGCCUGAUCCAGCCAUUCCGCGUGAGUGAAGAAGGCCUUCGGGUUGUAAAGCUCUUUCGCAAGGGAAGAAAACUUACCAUCGAAUAAAUGGUGAGGCUGACGGUACCUUGAUAAGAAGCACCGGCUAACUACGUG
Molecule: ribosomal RNA, 484 nt
Filed under: uncultured bacterium
Lineage: Bacteria
Description: partial 16S ribosomal RNA
Rfam family: Bacterial small subunit ribosomal RNA
Source: RNAcentral